AAAGUUGUUGCAGUUAAAAGCUCGUAGUUGGAUCUCGUUCCAGGCUGGCGUCCGACGCCUGUCGUUACUGCCUGCUCCGACUUACCUCCGUUUUCGCCCUUAGUGCUCUUGACUGAGUGUCUCGGUGCGCGAACGUUUACUUUGAAAAAAUUAAAGUGUCAAAGCAGCAAUAUCGCCUGAAUAAUGGUGCAUGGAAUAUGGAAUGGACCUCCGGUUCUUAUUUUGCUGGUUUUCGGAGCUCGAUUAAUGGUUAAGAGGGACUGACGGCAUUCGUAUUACGUGUUAGAGGUGAAAUUCUGAUCGCCGUAAGACGAACUACUCGAAAGCAUUUGCAAGCAUGUUUUCAUUAUCAAGAACGAGUCAGAGGUUCGAAGACGAUCAGAUACCGUCGUAGUUUGACCAUAACGAUGCCAACUAGGAUCCGCCGGAGUUGCUUCAAUGACUCGCAGGCAGCACUCAUCUAUGUAGUUUUUGGAGUACAU
RNAcentral lists this ribosomal RNA (482 nucleotides) under Mytilus galloprovincialis (Mediterranean mussel). RNAcentral's name for it is "Eukaryotic small subunit ribosomal RNA". It matches the Rfam family "Eukaryotic small subunit ribosomal RNA", at positions 606 to 1108 of the family's 1831-position model. The record is from Rfam by way of RNAcentral. Lineage: Eukaryota; Metazoa; Mollusca; Bivalvia; Mytilida; Mytilidae.